GUGUCAGCAGCCGCGGUAAUACGUAGGGGGCAAGCGUUGUCCGGAUUUAUUGGGCGUAAAGAGCUCGUAGGCGGCUUUGUAAGUCGGAUGUGAAAUCUCAUGGCUUAACCGUGAGCGGCCAUUCGAUACUGCAAGGCUAGAGGCCGGUAGGGGGACAUGGAAUUCCUGGUGUAGCGGUGAAAUGCGCAGAUAUCAGGAGGAACACCGGUGGCGAAGGCGGUGUCCUGGGCCGGUCCUGACGCUGAGGAGCGAAAGCUGGGGGAGCAAACAGGAUUAGAUACCCUGGUAGUCC
RNAcentral lists this ribosomal RNA (292 nucleotides) under uncultured Actinomycetes bacterium. RNAcentral describes it as "uncultured actinobacterium partial 16S ribosomal RNA". It matches the Rfam family "Bacterial small subunit ribosomal RNA", at positions 505 to 796 of the family's 1533-position model. Lineage: Bacteria; Bacillati; Actinomycetota; Actinomycetes. The record is from RNAcentral.